UACGUAGGGGGCAAGCGUUGUCCGGAAUCAUUGGGCGUAAAGAGCGUGUAGGCGGCCCGAUAAGUCCGCUGUGAAAGUCCAGGGCUCAACCCUGGAAUGCCGGUGGAUACUGUCGGGCUCGAAUCCGGAAGAGGUGAGUGGAAUUCCUGGUGUAGCGGUGAAAUGCGCAGAUAUCAGGAAGAACACCCGUGGCGAAGGCGGCUCUCUGGGACGGUACUGACGCUGAGACGCGAAAGCGUGGGGAGCGAACAGG
Molecule: ribosomal RNA, 253 nt
Filed under: uncultured bacterium
Lineage: Bacteria
Description: partial 16S ribosomal RNA
Rfam family: Bacterial small subunit ribosomal RNA
Source: RNAcentral